This 252-nucleotide ribosomal RNA is filed under the name uncultured bacterium. RNAcentral's name for it is "partial 16S ribosomal RNA". It matches the Rfam family "Bacterial small subunit ribosomal RNA", at positions 100 to 354 of the family's 1533-position model. The record is from RNAcentral.
CGGGGUGAGUAACACGUGAGCAACCUGCCUUUCAGAGGGGAAUAACGUUUGGAAACGAACGCUAAUACCGCAUAACAUUGGGAUAUGGCAUCAUGACCCAAUCAAAGAUUUAUCGCUGAAAGAUGGGCUCGCGCCCGAUUAGGUAGUUGGUGAGAUAAUAGCCCACCAAGCCGACGAUCGGUAGCCGGACUGAGAGGUUGAACGGCCACAUUGGGACUGAGACACGGCCCAGACUCCUACGGAAGGCAGCAG